RNAcentral lists this small nucleolar RNA (140 nucleotides) under Tupaia belangeri chinensis (Chinese tree shrew). The record is from RNAcentral. Lineage: Eukaryota; Metazoa; Chordata; Mammalia; Scandentia; Tupaiidae.
GACUUCCUAGGAUCACGUCUGGAGAGUGGCUCAUAUUCUGUCAGCUUCGGAAACAGGAGGGAGAGCAAAGACAGCAGAGGUACCCAUUCUAUUCCCAGCUGGCACCAUAGCUGGUGAUUGGAAGACGCUCUGCAAGUGUC